CCUAACCAUUUAUGGAGGGAUGUUCCUAAGGUGUGAUUAGCGAUUGGGGUGAAGUCGUAACAAGGUAUCCGUACCGGAAGGUGCGGAUGGAUCACCUCCUUUCUAAGGAGCA
Molecule: ribosomal RNA, 112 nt
Filed under: Psychrilyobacter sp. S5
Lineage: Bacteria; Fusobacteriati; Fusobacteriota; Fusobacteriia; Fusobacteriales; Fusobacteriaceae
Also listed under: 1 other name
Description: partial 16S ribosomal RNA
Rfam family: Bacterial small subunit ribosomal RNA
Source: RNAcentral